This 330-nucleotide long non-coding RNA is filed under the name Elaeis guineensis (African oil palm). RNAcentral describes it as "long non-coding RNA (EGUI_LNC067986)". The record is from RNAcentral. Lineage: Eukaryota; Viridiplantae; Streptophyta; Magnoliopsida; Arecales; Arecaceae.
GGGUGGAAUAUUUCAAAAAAAAUUAUCCAAUGAUAUUUCAGAUCUAAGAUUUAUUAGAUUUAAUUUUUAUUAUCUGAUAUUAAAUCUAAAAUUAAAUCUGAAAACAUGAGGAAUAGAGAAAUAUCUCUAGGGUAACUAGAUUACCCUGUAGAUGAUUGCAGUAAUGCCCGAGGUUCUAAAAUAGCCACGCAAUCAUCUAGUCUCUACCGAUAUCCACUCGAGUAGGAUCUAGAUUGUCUUCUCCUCAUAAAUUUUUGCUCCAAAAAUCAGAUCUGGAUCUGAACUGGAAGAUCUUCAAAAGUUCUUCUGAAGCUGGAGCAGCAGCUUCUC